GUUAGCAGUGGUGGCACAGGUAUCUUGCUGUAGAUCUGUGUAUAGCUGAAGUAUUCUGAAGGACUUUCUACCUCACAAGCUUGUGGAGCUGGAGGAGUCACUGCCUUAUUUGCAAGUCCUGAGCUAAAACCGAGAGCUGCUCUAAGAGGACAUAUGGCUACCUCCAGACCAGAGUACCCAUCAGUUCUGCAGGAAGGCUGCUGUAAUACUUUUAGCUCUCUUACUCAGCAUGAUGCUGUAUGAGAAAUAAAGAGGGAUAUUUGUAAUAGCUAUGUUAAUAAGCCCCUUUACACUAGUAACACUGAAGAAAGUGCUUUUCUGAUUCUUGUUUAAAACUAAUGUAGGUUUAAGCCACAGUUUAUGAAGGUAACAUCUGGGGGGUAGGAGGGGAGAAGGGAGGGAGUGAUAUGAACCUGUUUGAAGUGCUAACCACUGUCUCCAUCCCUCUGGUCCUUUAGCUGUGCCCAGCAGCACUUCAGCAGAAGAAAGGAGCAUCCUUGAUGUGGAGUACUCUGAGUUAGAUUUCAUCUUGACUUCUCAUUUUAACAAACACUGAGGAGGUGUCUUGAGGUACUCUGUUGUUGCAGCAGCCCAGGUGAAGCUUGUGGAAUCUUUCUGCACCAGCUGCCAGCAGCCUGACUCUCUCAGUGAGAGCUCUAAAGAGCAACAGGUGGGACCUUCCCAAGGCACGCUGGUAUGAGCAGCACUUUGUGGAGAUGAAUUCAAGCUUACUUUAUAGUGAGUUACAGGUCAGUUCUGUAAAUGCUUAGCUGUAUGCCGAAGCAUGAAUUCUGACGGACCCACUGUUGGUUUUGAAUUCAAGCUUGCCUUUACGUGGCCUCGAAAAACCAUCUACUUGGGUGUAUAUUUUUCUACACAAACCCACGAGAGGGCAGCAGACAGCAAGGGUUCGGGCAGUGCCUCACUACAGGCAGCUCAGGCAGCACCCAGCAAACGGGGAACGAAGCUGGUCGUUGGUUACAGAGCAUUAAAACCAUCUCGAGUCGGGUCUGGAAAGAAAAUGUGAUAGAUACUGUAAUUUUAGAUGAACUUUGUCUCUGACAUUGGAAUCUGCCACUCUCCUUUGGCUCCUGUUUUUACAUCUGCAAGGGCUGUGUUUUUAUUGAAAGGCGGAUGGAAGCAAGCUGGGUUUAAAAACAAUUAUCACGAUAGUAAAGGUGCUGUAGAUAUAAUGGAAAAAAUAUAGUGAAAUAAAAAUUGUGAAAAUUAAUGGUAAUGAAUUGUAACAACACACUUGACAGCUAUUUCAAGGCUUGAAAUAGCACAGAUAAUUAGACAACUGAGAAGUUGCUACAGCAUGUAUGGUUUUGUUCAUACUCAGAUCAUUUUAUCUUAUUAAAAAACAUGAAUUCAGAGACUGUUGCAAUCACUGGAACAACUGAACUACUUAUAUGCAAUUGGAAUUUCUCACUUAGGCCCAAUAGCGUGGCAUGCUAUGUUUCUGAAUGUAGUAUUUCAUUAAUUAGAAAUUAAAUCACCCAUGCUUGUGACAGUAACACAUUGGCUUUGUAAUGUAGUGAUAAUGAAAAGGAU
This is a long non-coding RNA of Gallus gallus (chicken), 1554 nucleotides long. NCBI's taxonomy places the organism in Eukaryota, Metazoa, Chordata, Aves, Galliformes, Phasianidae. The record is from Ensembl.